AGCUUUAAUAUACUUGGACGGAAAAUGGGCGGUUGCUUUCUCUUUCUGAUAAUCAAUAAAUAACUGUAAAAGGCAUGUAAGAUGAAGCCUGUUCAGAAAACGCACGAUUUGACAGCUAUUGAAAGAAGUGGAAAUAAUGCUUUUUAUAUGUAAUGUCCGAAAAUAAUUUUAGUUGCCACCCGUUUUUACGAACUUGCUAGUCUUGAAAAAUAUUGGAUCAAGAGCUAAACUUAAUUUCGCCCAUGGAAUCAUUCAUAUAAUGCGAUACAAUCUUCAUAUUAGAUUAUAUGCCAAAAUGAGCAUGGCUACUAAAUAAUUUGUUGAAAUGUUGAUGGUAUUGAUGUGCAUUACACGCUAAAACUUAAAUUUUUAUUGUAUUGAAUAGUGUCACUGUGUCACUGUUGGAAUGUUCCGUGUUGAACAUGAUAUUACACUGUGUCUUCUAUGUCACUUGCUGGAAAGCAUCCACAAUUAAUUACACUGUUUAAUGAAAUCUAUAUUGAGCAUUUUAUCAAUAAAAGAUAUUUAUAUU
Pogonomyrmex barbatus (red harvester ant) is the source of this 532-nucleotide long non-coding RNA. The record is from RefSeq and is a predicted model, not a curated record. NCBI's taxonomy places the organism in Eukaryota, Metazoa, Arthropoda, Insecta, Hymenoptera, Formicidae.